Molecule: ribosomal RNA, 422 nt
Filed under: uncultured bacterium
Lineage: Bacteria
Description: bacterial SSU rRNA
Rfam family: Bacterial small subunit ribosomal RNA
Source: RNAcentral
UGAGGAAUAUUGGGCAAUGCCCGCAAGGGUGACCCAGCAACGCCGCGUGGAGGAUGAAUGUCGUAAGAUUGUAAACUCCUGUUAGAGGGGAAGAAUAAUACCGGUUGGACCGGUAUGUGACUGUACCCUCAGAGAAAGCCCCGGCUAACUACGUGCCAGCAGCCGCGGUAAUACGUAGGGGGCAAGCGUUGUCCGGAUUUACUGGGUGUAAAGGGCGCGCAGGCGGGAUAAAAAGUCAGUGGUGAAAUCCUACAGCUUAACUGUAGAACUGCCUUUGAUACUUUUAUUCUUGAGUUCGGGAGAGAGAGACGGAAUUCCAGGUGUAGUGGUGAAAUACGUAGAUAUCUGGAAGAACACCAGUUGCGAAGGCGGUCUCUUGGUCCGACACUGACGCUGAGGCGCGAAAGCGUGGGGAGCAAACA